UACAGAGGGUGCGAGCGUUAAUCGGAAUUACUGGGCGUAAAGCGCGCGUAGACGGUUUUGUAAGUUUGUCGUGAAAGCCCCGGGCUCAACCUGGGAAUUGCGAUGAAGACUGCAAGGCUUGAAUCUGGCAGAGGGGGGUAGAAUUCCACGUGUAGCAGUGAAAUGCGUAGAGAUGUGGAGGAACACCGAUGGCGAAGGCAG
This 201-nucleotide ribosomal RNA is filed under the name uncultured prokaryote. RNAcentral's name for it is "partial 16S ribosomal RNA". It matches the Rfam family "Bacterial small subunit ribosomal RNA", at positions 524 to 724 of the family's 1533-position model. The record is from RNAcentral.